AAGUCGUAACAAGGUUUCCGUAGGUGAACCUGCGGAAGGAUCAUUAAAGAGUAAGGGUCUCUGGCCCGAACCUCCAACCCUCUGUUGUUAUAACUACUUCGUUGCUUUGGCGGGACCGCGAAGGUCCUCCCGAGCGCGCCAGUCUCCGGACGAGGCGAGCCGCCCGCCAGAAGUCCAUACCAAUCUUCAUGCUUUAAACCAGUCGUCUGAGUCAACAAAUUUUAAUUAAAUUAAAA
This 236-nucleotide unclassified non-coding RNA is filed under the name plant metagenome. RNAcentral describes it as "partial contains small subunit ribosomal RNA and internal transcribed spacer 1". The stretch from base 1 to 46 matches the Rfam family "Eukaryotic small subunit ribosomal RNA", at positions 1786 to 1831 of the family's 1831-position model. The record is from RNAcentral.